UAUUAGCCCUGAUUGCACGAAAGAUACAGUGGAAAGCGGGAAAUAGC
RNAcentral lists this unclassified non-coding RNA (47 nucleotides) under Chryseobacterium formosense. RNAcentral describes it as "Flavo-1 RNA". Lineage: Bacteria; Pseudomonadati; Bacteroidota; Flavobacteriia; Flavobacteriales; Weeksellaceae. The record is from RNAcentral.